GUGAAUCAUCGAAUUUUUGAACGCAAAUUGCACUCUCUUCGGUGAGUAUGACUGUUUGAGGGUCAGCCUAUAAAAAUCGACAUAGUUGCUGUUUCGCGGAGGUUUUCGUCGGAAAUUGGGUCAUCUUAAAUCCUUUUGAUUUAAGCGUCUUAAAAUUUUCUUUUGGUUCAAUGAUCGUUUCUAAGAUCUAUUUCUUUAUAGGUUAAAGGUAUCGAUUUUUACUAUACGUGAUAAUUAUAUUGGUGC
RNAcentral lists this unclassified non-coding RNA (246 nucleotides) under Glomus sp. Its description in RNAcentral is "partial contains 5.8S ribosomal RNA and internal transcribed spacer 2". The stretch from base 1 to 65 matches the Rfam family "5.8S ribosomal RNA", at positions 84 to 154 of the family's 154-position model. The record is from RNAcentral. Lineage: Eukaryota; Fungi; Glomeromycota; Glomeromycetes; Glomerales; Glomeraceae.